UACGUAGGCAGCGAGCGUUGUUCGGAAUUACUGGGCGUAAAGAGUGUGUAGGCGGUGCCUUAAGUUCGGUGUGAAAUCUCCCGGCUCAACUGGGAGGGUGCGCCGGAAACUGGGGUGCUCGAACGUGGGAGAGGAAAGCGGAAUUCCUGGUGUAGCGGUGAAAUGCGUAGAUAUCAGGAGGAACACCUGUGGUGUAGACGGCUUUCUGGACCAUUGUUGACGCUGAGGCACGAAAGCGUGGGUAGCAAACAGG
Molecule: ribosomal RNA, 253 nt
Filed under: uncultured bacterium
Lineage: Bacteria
Description: partial 16S ribosomal RNA
Rfam family: Bacterial small subunit ribosomal RNA
Source: RNAcentral